CGACCUCAGAGCAGGUGAGAUUACC
This 25-nucleotide ribosomal RNA is filed under the name Afrocandezea tutseki. Its description in RNAcentral is "partial 28S ribosomal RNA". Lineage: Eukaryota; Metazoa; Arthropoda; Insecta; Coleoptera; Chrysomelidae. The record is from RNAcentral.